AUGGAGUCCUACGUCCUAUUUCUCACUGUCUUCUCAAUGCUUCUUUAUGGGGUUCCUGCUGAAAUUCGGCUGACCGAGUCUGGUGGAGGAGUGCUGAAGCCUGGAGAAUCCCUGCAACUGACCUGUAGGGUCUCUGGUCACACCAUCACAUCGGAUAAUAGGGAUUGGAGCUGGAUCCGACAGGCCCCCAACAAAGGACUGGAAUGGAUAGGAAGGGGAUACUACUAUAAUUCAAAAUGGAACACCAACUAUGCCGCAGCCUUCCAGAGCAGGGUCUCCAUCUCGCUUGAUUCUUCCAAGAACGAAUACGAUCUCCGGUUGAGCUCCCUGACAGCUGCCGACACGGCCACAUAUUACUGUGCCAGAGAGACACAGUGA
Molecule: non-coding RNA, 378 nt
Organism: Hemicordylus capensis (graceful crag lizard)
Lineage: Eukaryota; Metazoa; Chordata; Lepidosauria; Squamata; Cordylidae
Source: the annotation of a RefSeq genome assembly